UUUCGAAACAUUACAAACAUGAUAUCGAAACUUCUUUCGUUUCGUUCCAAGAAAUAUUUCAUUUCCUCGUAAUAUCACAGUGCAGAACGAUCGAUUAUCGGUAUUUCUCUUCUAUUGGCGCGAGCUUAAUUAUCAUGUAAAUAGUGGUAAUUAGUAGCAUACUCGAUCAAUUAAGUUUUUCUAACGUGUAUUUUCUGUUUAAUGGAUAAGAGCCAUAAUAGGGGUUUUCCAGAAAUAUAUCUUUCUCCAUAACUGUCCAUAUGGUCUAUUAUCAAUGAAUUAAUAAUACUGAUAAUAAUAUGAUAGAAAUCCUUAUUGUUAGAUUUAUUUCAAUCGAGAUUCUCGAUUCUAGAAUCAAUGACAAUUCAUAAGUUUAAAGAUCAUUUGAAGAGGAAUGAGUUUGCAAUUUUGUGAUCAAUUCUUUACUUUAAUUUCAUUGAUUUAGACAUCAUCUAACAAGACUCCUCCAUCUUGGAACCAUUCUUAGCUCCAUUGACCUUUGGAUUAACCCAAAUAGAUUUAUUUUUUCAGUCUAUCUUAAUCUCACUAUUCUAAGAUCCAUUGAUCUUCAAUUUUGGAAGAAGAUAUCAGGAUCAUUUCUAAGUGAAACUUUUUAAUCUUGCAAUUAUCAAUAGCAAUUUCACGAAUCAUUCCAAUAAAAAUUUUCUUCUCUCCAAAGCAUUUUCAAACAAAAUUUCCUCCAUUCUGAAUCUACCCCGACCAAGAUUCUUCAAUUUCGAAGUUAUCAUCCUCCUCGAAUUCUGAUUUCAAGAUUAUCCAUAACGGAGUCGAAUCGAGUCGUCUCCUCUCAUCCCGUCUCAUCCAUAAUGUCUCUCGUUUAUCUGAAAAUGAACAAGAACGUAAGAACAAUAUAAAACAUAAAAGAUACGUAAGACAGCUUUUCCAGACAACAUCCUUUUCUCUUUCCUUCCUUUUUUUUUUUUUUUUAAUU
Long non-coding RNA from Apis florea (little honeybee), 952 nucleotides. NCBI's taxonomy places the organism in Eukaryota, Metazoa, Arthropoda, Insecta, Hymenoptera, Apidae. The record is from RefSeq and is a predicted model, not a curated record.